UGUUCUAGAAUAAAAUAAAAU
Molecule: non-coding RNA, 21 nt
Filed under: Caenorhabditis elegans
Lineage: Eukaryota; Metazoa; Nematoda; Chromadorea; Rhabditida; Rhabditidae
Source: RNAcentral